This 253-nucleotide ribosomal RNA is filed under the name uncultured bacterium. RNAcentral describes it as "partial 16S ribosomal RNA". It matches the Rfam family "Bacterial small subunit ribosomal RNA", at positions 524 to 776 of the family's 1533-position model. The record is from RNAcentral.
UACGUAGGGUGCAAGCGUUGUCCGGAAUUAUUGGGCGUAAAGAGCUCGUAGGCGGUCUGUCGCGUCGGCUGUGAAAACCUGGGGCUUAACUCCGGGCCUGCAGCCGAUACGGGCAGACUAGAGUUCGGCAGGGGAGACUGGAAUUCCUGGUGUAGCGGUGAAAUGCGUAGAUAUCGGAAGGAACGCCGGUGGCGAAAGCGAUCGACUGGACCUCUUCUGACGCUGAGGCGCGAAAGCCAGGGGAGCAAACGGG